UAGCUCUUUCUACAUACCCUAGAGCCCGGGC
RNAcentral lists this non-coding RNA (31 nucleotides) under Rattus norvegicus (Norway rat). Lineage: Eukaryota; Metazoa; Chordata; Mammalia; Rodentia; Muridae. The record is from RNAcentral.